GUUUUAAUAAUUUAAAUAAAAAUAUUGAUUUUGUAAAUCAAAAAUAGAAAAUUUCUUUUAAACA
RNAcentral lists this transfer RNA (64 nucleotides) under Lopheros rubens. RNAcentral's name for it is "tRNA-Thr". Lineage: Eukaryota; Metazoa; Arthropoda; Insecta; Coleoptera; Lycidae. The record is from RNAcentral.